Centruroides sculpturatus (bark scorpion) is the source of this 350-nucleotide long non-coding RNA. RefSeq lists it as uncharacterized. NCBI's taxonomy places the organism in Eukaryota, Metazoa, Arthropoda, Arachnida, Scorpiones, Buthidae. The transcript has 2 exons. The record is from RefSeq and is a predicted model, not a curated record.
UUAAAACAUCGGUUACAAUUCUUCAACAUGAACUCGAUUCUUCGCAUGGUCUUGUUUGUUCUCGUUCUUAUUCUUCUAACAAUUCAUUGUUCAAAAGUGGAAGUGAAAUAUCUACAUGUCUGCAAUGCUGAUCUGAACGCCGAACAUUGUCAUAAAACAUGUGUAGAUCAGAACUAUACUUUUGGAAAUUGUGUGGCAUAUUCGGCUGAAACGACUGAUCUUAUAUGCGUGUGUAGCAGAACGAGAAAUUGGGGCUGUUAAUUAAUUUAAAUUCUUGUAAGAGCGUAGCUCAAGAGAUAAAUAUAAAUAUCUGUAAGUUAGUUAAUAAACUGUUCGAUGCACUUAACAGA